AUGCAGUUUGAAGACUCUCUGGAUUUUUCGAGCUGCCAGGUGUUAGAUGUGUUAGAGAUGACAGAUUGUAACAUCUAUGCGCCUAUCAUUUGCCAGUCAUUACGACACCUUAACAUGAAAGGCGGAUGUUUUGACAAUGAAGUCCGCUAUCAUAUUUCUGCCCCAAAUCUCGUUAGCUUGAAACUAGCUCCAGAGUCGGGCCUGACUCCAUUGCUUGAUAGCAUGCCAUCACUGGUAACAGCAUCUGUUGAAUCUUCCGAAGAGGAGUUUCAUCACUGUUUUGCUUUGCUAUCAUGUGAUGAUGGAUGCACUAGGGAAGAAACAUUUUCUGUGGUUUUGGAAGGCUUGUCUGCUGCUACAAACUUAGAGUUGACAAGUGAUGAUCUGUUAUCUGUUUUCAGAAUGGAUUUGAAAUGGUCCCCUGUGUUUAGCAAAGUAAAAAUGUUGUUGCUGAAUAAUUGGUGUGUGGCUGGUGAUUUCACUGGAUUGGUUUACUUUCUCCAGCACUCACCAAUUCUAGAGACACUCACGCUACAACUUAAUAUUCCAACUCCUAAGAAACAACGUGUGAAUGGAACAGAUGAAAGAUAUGCCCCAAAGAAGCAAUCAUUACCAUCGAAGCAUCUCAAGAUAGUCAAAAUCAUAUGUGGCCUGAUGAAGGACGAUGCUAGAGUUUACCGUGCUUUGAAGAUGCUCUGUGCCCAUGGAGUGCCUUUUGAGAAAAUUGACAUCCAAUAG
This 738-nucleotide ribosomal RNA is filed under the name Triticum aestivum (bread wheat). RNAcentral's name for it is "partial small subunit ribosomal RNA". Lineage: Eukaryota; Viridiplantae; Streptophyta; Magnoliopsida; Poales; Poaceae. The record is from RNAcentral.